This 1297-nucleotide long non-coding RNA is filed under the name Oryctolagus cuniculus (rabbit). Its description in RNAcentral is "lncRNA (ENSOCUG00000035759.1)". Lineage: Eukaryota; Metazoa; Chordata; Mammalia; Lagomorpha; Leporidae. The record is from RNAcentral.
UAAAAUUUCUAUAUCAGUUUUAUCUGCACAAUUUUAUCAUUAUGGAAAACAUAGACUACACUAUGUUUUAUGUUUAUCAUUUAUAGCACAUGUUUAUUAGCAUAAAUACAUUUUUAUUUAUACAUAAAGCAUUUUAUCCUAGCCAUAACCUUUACCACUAAUUAGUAGUAAUAUAUUGUCUCUACAAAAGACAAGAAAUCAUAGUAAUGGUAGGGAUGUCUGUCUAAAUAUGUAGCUGAAUAAGUAUGUCUAAGUAAGUAGCUUCAGUAAGAGCCGUAGCCCGGGUCAUGGCGUGAGGGGCUCAGCCGCUGCCUGCAGCACCAGUGUUCCAUGUGGCUGUGGGUUCGAGUCCCGGCUGCUCCACUUCCAAUCCAGCUCCCUGUAAUGCUCCUGGGAAAGCAGUGGAAGAUGGGCCAAGUUCUGGGGCCCCUGCACCCAUGUGGGAGACCCGGAUGAAGGGGAGAGAGAGAGAGAGAGAGAGAGAGAGAGAGAAGCUUUGGCCUGGCCCAGCCCUGGCCGCUGUGGCCAUCUGGGGAGUGAACCAGUGGACGGAAGAUCGACUCUGCCUCUCUGAUAAAUGAAUCCAUCUUCCGUGUUUUCUGGGGGAGCUUCCAGGGGCCGCUCCGCGGCGGCGUGGUCGGAGCUGCAGGUUUUUCCCAGCAGACGGGCAGUGUUAUUGGCAAUGACAGGACAGAGCCGGAGGACCUGCCCUGUGGGGCCUUUGGCUGCUGAGCUGGCCCCGGGUAGAACGGGGAUGGGAAGAAACGCACCGUAGAAAGCUGCCUUCACGGGCUCGUGCAGGAGAACCGAUUAGUUACGUAAAGAAGUUGUGUGCACCCAGGACGGGAUGGGAGCUUGGUGGAGCGAGGGACCCCAGGCUCCUUACGCUGGGGCACCCCCCUCCGCCAGGGGCAGAGUGGCAACGUAAACACGCCAAGCUUUGAUGUUUCCUAGACGCCAAGGUAACCCAAACAUUUCCAGUAUUCAGACAAACAGGGAUGUAGAACGUAAAAUCUGCACAAACGUUUGGGGUGAAACAGGAGACGUCCAGGAAUUCCCCAGGAGUGGCAGCUGGCCGGGACCGAGAGCACAGCUGCCCGCUCCUCCUGCGAGGUGCCGGCCGCCGUCUCUGCUGGGAGUAGCUGGAGGUCUAAAUGCUCCAAGAUACCCUGCGGUGCAAAGCAAACCUGGCUGCCCACGCACGGCGGCUUCCUGUCGCUCGUGGACGUAGGGCAUGCGACGGGCAGCCGCCAGCACAGCAACGGAGGAGCUCGGGGACAUGGCUGGGCAGGCUGUG